GAUGAACGCUAGCGGCAGGCCUAACACAUGCAAGUCGAGGGAGAAGCCCUUUCGGGGGCAGACACCGGCGCACGGGUGCGUAACGCGUAUGCAACCUACCUUUCACAGGGGGAUAGCCCGAAGAAAUUUGGAUUAAUACCCCAUAAUAUUAUUGGAUGGCAUCAUUUGAUAAUUAAAACUGCGGUGGUGAAAGAUGGGCAUGCGUCCUAUUAGCUAGUUGGAGUGGUAACGGCACCCCAAGGCUACGAUAGGUAGGGGUCCUGAGAGGGAGAUCCCCCACACUGGUACUGAGACAGGGACCAGACUCCUACAGGAGGCAGCAGUGAGGAAUAUUGGUCAAUGGUCGGAAGACUGAACCAGCCAUGCCGCGUGCAGGAAGAAUGCCUUAUGGGUUGUAAACUGCUUUUAGAUGGGAAGAAUAAGGCGUACGUGUACGUUGAUGACGGUACCAUAUGAAUAAGCAUCGGCUAACUCCGUG
Molecule: ribosomal RNA, 478 nt
Filed under: uncultured bacterium
Lineage: Bacteria
Description: partial 16S ribosomal RNA
Rfam family: Bacterial small subunit ribosomal RNA
Source: RNAcentral